This is a small nucleolar RNA of Drosophila biarmipes, 83 nucleotides long. RefSeq annotates it as small nucleolar RNA R38. The transcript has a single exon. The record is from RefSeq and is a predicted model, not a curated record. NCBI's taxonomy places the organism in Eukaryota, Metazoa, Arthropoda, Insecta, Diptera, Drosophilidae.
UUUUUUCUAUGAUGAACAACACUUUUAUUUAACAGUUAUCCCUGUCAUAACAAUAAUUGAUGAUGCAAUAAGCUGACAUUUUU